Molecule: non-coding RNA, 1013 nt
Organism: Schizosaccharomyces pombe (fission yeast)
Lineage: Eukaryota; Fungi; Ascomycota; Schizosaccharomycetes; Schizosaccharomycetales; Schizosaccharomycetaceae
Source: the annotation of a GenBank genome assembly
CUUGGAGAUGACCUUGAAGGGCCAGUGCUUCAUGUCAGACUGAACCUCAGGAUCAUCAAAUUUACGGCCGAUCAAACGCUUGGCAUCAAAGAUGGUGUUGUGGGGGUUCAUGGCGACUUGGUUCUUAGCAGCGUCACCAAUGAGACGCUCGGUAUCGGUAAAGGCAACAUAAGAAGGGGUAGUGCGGUUACCUUGAUCGUUGGCGAUAAUUUCGACACGGUUGUUGGAAAAGUGUCCAACACAAGAGUAGGUAGUACCCAAAUCAAUUCCGAUUGAUUUGCUCAUAUUGAUGUGAAAAGACAAAAAACAAAUAAAAAAGACUAAAGUUUAUUUGGGGAUUAUAAAAAGGAACGUGGGAUAUAAAUAAUUUAAUAUAGCACUCCUUAUUUAAGAUGCAAUAGAUAACUUUCUUCGUUAACUUCCUAUAAGGAAAAUGAUUUAUUACUCCUUAAUUGAUAUUAAUGCAAGUAAUAGGAAUACACGAUGUUGGGAGGGUGGGAUAUUCAUCGUAUUUAUUACAUUAGGCUACGGUUCUCGAAGUUUCCCAAAACCCUAACCCUCGCUCGUAAAGCACCUUACAGAACGUUUGGGUAGAACAGUAGAGAAUCUUUCGAACACCGUACGUCAUGAUGAAGCAGUUUGGUAAAGAGCGAAAAAGGAAAUCGAACAAUCCGUUAAAUUAUUUAACGAACUCGAAAGUCCUGGAAGAGCGUGGAAAGAGCCGGAAGGGAUACAGAGGACAGCGCAUUGGAGUGCAAUAAAUGCCCAGAAGUCUUAGAAAUCGUUAAAAGAAAUUACGGUUGAAUACGAGAUAAAUCAGUAAAUGGAAAGAUGAAUAGUGGAAGGAGCUUCACUAAUACGACCCGUUGAGUAUUAACACUGAGUCACUCUACUUACUCUAUUUAUAUUGGCAGGUGCAAUGAGUUUAGAAAUUGGAAUCAGCAUGUUUUCUUUAGAAAGUAUUUAGGGGGUAAUUUUGAAGAAAUAAUAAAAAAUGAAACGUUAAAUGUUUU